RNAcentral lists this ribosomal RNA (926 nucleotides) under Hebeloma mesophaeum. Its description in RNAcentral is "partial large subunit ribosomal RNA". It matches the Rfam family "Eukaryotic large subunit ribosomal RNA", at positions 40 to 952 of the family's 3401-position model. Lineage: Eukaryota; Fungi; Basidiomycota; Agaricomycetes; Agaricales; Hymenogastraceae. The record is from RNAcentral.
AUAUCAAUAAGCGGGGAAAAGAAACUAACAAGGAUUCCCCUAGUAACUGCGAGUGAAGCGGGAAAAGCUCAAAUUUAAAAUCUGGCGGUCUCCGGCCGUCCGAGUUGUAAUCUAGAGAAGUGUUAUCCGCGCUGGACCGUGUACAAGUCUCCUGGAAUGGAGCGUCAUAGAGGGUGAGAAUCCCGUCUUUGACACGGACUGCCAGGGCUUUGUGAUGCGCUCUCAAAGAGUCGAGUUGUUUGGGAAUGCAGCUCAAAAUGGGUGGUAAAUUCCAUCUAAAGCUAAAUAUUGGCGAGAGACCGAUAGCGAACAAGUACCGUGAGGGAAAGAUGAAAAGAACUUUGGAAAGAGAGUUAAACAGUACGUGAAAUUGCUGAAAGGGAAACGCUUGAAGUCAGUCGCGUUGGCCGGGGAUCAACCUUGCUUUUGCUGGGCGUACUUUCCGGUUGACGGGUCAGCAUCAAUUUUGACCGUUGGAUAAAGUCUAGGGGAAUGUGGCAUCUUCGGAUGUGUUAUAGCCCUUGGUCGCAUACAACGGUUGGGAUUGAGGAACUCAGCACGCCGCAAGGCCGGGUACUUGUACCACGUUCGUGCUUAGGAUGCUGGCAUAAUGGCUUUAAUCGACCCGUCUUGAAACACGGACCAAGGAGUCUAACAUGCCUGCGAGUGUUUGGGUGGAAAACUCGGACGCGUAAUGAAAGUGAAAGUUGAGAUCCCUGUCGCGGGGAGCAUCGACGCCCGGACCAGACCUUUUGUGACGGAUCCGCGGUAGAGCAUGUAUGUUGGGACCCGAAAGAUGGUGAACUAUGCCUGAAUAGGGUGAAGCCAGAGGAAACUCUGGUGGAGGCUCGUAGCGAUUCUGACGUGCAAAUCGAUCGUCAAAUUUGGGUAUAGGGGCGAAAGACUAAUCGAACCAUCUAGUAGCU